RNAcentral lists this ribosomal RNA (378 nucleotides) under uncultured bacterium. RNAcentral describes it as "bacterial SSU rRNA". It matches the Rfam family "Bacterial small subunit ribosomal RNA", at positions 521 to 896 of the family's 1533-position model. The record is from RNAcentral.
UGAUACGUAGGGUCCGAGCGUUGUCCGGAAUUAUUGGGCGUAAAGGGCUUGUAGGCGGUUCGUCACGUCGGAAGUGAAAACUCAGGGCUUAACCCUGAGCCUGCUUCCGAUACGGGCAAACUAGAGGAAUGCAGGGGAGAACGGAAUUCCUGGUGGAGCGGUGGAAUGCGCAGAUAUCAGGAGGAACACCGGUGGCGAAGGCGGUUCUCUGGGCAUUUCCUGACGCUGAGAAGCGAAAGCGUGGGGAGCAAACAGGCUUAGAUACCCUGGUAGUCCACGCCGUAAACGGUGGGCACUAGGUGUGGGGGACAUUCCACGUUCUCCGUGCCGAAGCUAACGCAUUAAGUGCCCCGCCUGGGGAGUACGGCCGCAAGGCUA